This 4654-nucleotide long non-coding RNA is filed under the name Daucus carota (carrot). RNAcentral describes it as "long non-coding RNA (DCAR_LNC001549)". The record is from RNAcentral. Lineage: Eukaryota; Viridiplantae; Streptophyta; Magnoliopsida; Apiales; Apiaceae.
UUGCAAUGAAUUAAAGGGAAUAAUUUAUACAUUAUUCAAUUCUUUUCUCUAUUUUAUAUAUUAUACAUGGUGGCUGCCUAGAGACAACUAAUUGCACAAGUUAUGCCUACAUAAGGUAUCCAUACAUGUUCACAAAAAAAAGAACAAGCAACACAAUAGAAAGGCCUGCCAAAUAAGAGCACCACUGACUCCACCCUUUUUUAUAAUGAAAGCACCAUUUUCAAUCCAUGUAGAAAAUGAAUCACGACCAUACUACUGUAUAAAUGAGUGAAUAAAAAACCCUUACAGGAGUAGGACGUUCCACAUCAAGAAAUACAACCCGUAAUAUCUGCUCAACAGCAACUUGAUCCUUUUGUUCAUCAAACUGAAAUGAAACAAGAACAGAAUCUUCACCAAGGAUGAAAGAUAAAUAUUUGAUAGCAAUGCAGAAGCCACUCCAACUCUCCUUCAAAUUUACUCAUAAUAACCGUAGUAUGCAUAUCAAAAUACUAUAUUAGUCCCAUAAUAUUCAGCUUGAGAGAUGCAAGUUUGAUGUAUAGUGGUUGCCACAUAGUACAAAAAAGAAUGAAUCAAACCAUCAUAACAGGUACAGUUCAUACCAGCUCAGGUACAUAGUCCAUCGGUCCUUUCACCUUCAGGCUCAUGAUCUUAAACUUCACCCUGCUUUUCUGAUCCAUUGGCUUUUCAUUGUUCUCCGGAUUCUCCACAAAUUUAAAUACUUUUGAUACAAAAAAAAAGUCAAAACUAACUCAAUAUACAACUUGAAGUGAAGACCAAAUAUCAAAUAUGAUUAUCUCAACAAGCUAAUUUGGACAACUCUGUAUAAUGUGGCAACUAUAACUAUGCUAUGAAAAGAAAAACAUGAAGAAAGAUCAUAAAGAAGACAUUACCAGUAGCUAUAAGACUCUCGCCAGGAGCAAGAAUUGCCCCUGGAGGACGCAUAAAACAGCUCUUUGGUGCAGUUGUUUGGAACUAAAUCACAUAAGCAAGAAGCAUUAAUCAACAAAAUUAAGGACAUUAUAGGUCAGAAAAGAAAUAUUUAUUAUGAACACAUUUACUAACACUGUAUCACUGCCCUAAAAAGAUGCAUCAUGGUCAAGAUACGGAAGGAAUACAGGUAUAAUACCUUAAAAGCUACAUGAGAUUUGCUUGUAUUUUUAAUCCCAAUCGCACUCCGGACUUGUUUGCCAGGUUCGUCUAAAAUGAUACAAAAAAAGGUUCAAAUGUAAGCACUACUACCAUAUUUAACAGCACCUCAUACAAGAAAACGUAAGCUGAAAAUUAAAUUACAGGGCUAUAAUUUUGUACUCCAAUGCAGAUAUAUGUAACAUCUACAAAAAUUCAACCCAUUCUAAAAAAGCAACAGCAAAAGACGGCCAUGCCAGAGAAAUAAAUUUAGCUAAUAAACAUACACAUGUUAAAAGACAUCAAGAUCAUCAGACAUCAAGAACAUAUACAAGUGUAAACUGAGAGGAGGCUUUAUCAUCAAGUGACCUUGUCUUUCCUAUUUACAUUUUGCAUUGGUAGGGUGUAAAAUGGAAGAAGAAAUUAAAACAUUAACAAUCUCUUAACCAAAGCUUUUGUGAGAAGUUCGCAAACUCAACUAUCACUCUUCUUGUAGACAUAACAAUUCUAGCUAUAUACAAAACCAUUACCCAGUAAAGGCUCAAACAGAUAUACAAAUAAAACAUUUUUCGCACAUGUCCAGAUAAUCUUAACGGACAUAGAUACGAAGGACGUGCCUUCUACUCGUAAAAUUAUUUCUUUAAUUCACAACCUUUUUUCCUGAUUCAUGGCUAUACAUGCAAUAUGAUUUACCUCAUCUAUAGUCUGCAUGUGUGAAACAAUNAUUUUUUUAACAAAUGAAUACUUAUUUAUAUAAAUAAGAAAGGAUAAAUGAUUUUUAAAUAUUCAGUUUUAAAAGAUAAUAUGUAAGUAUGGAAUUGUAUUCUCAAAUAAGUCUAAAGUUUGAUAAAAUAAGAACACAUUAUAGCAUUUUCAACCACACAAAACCCUUAGCUAAAAUACAAGAAAUCUGUGUUACACAUUAUUUGUAUUGAACUGAUAUAUUCAAUUUUAACAAACUAAAAUAUUAAUAACAUACUAUUUUUAAAUUAUAACCAACCAAUAUAGCCAAUACCAUUCGAGUGCAACAGUUUCGGCAAAUUAUGCAUAAUAUCGUAUAUAUUUUAUUUUAACAAACUAAAAUAUUAAUAACAUACUAAUUUUAAAUUAUAACCAACUAAUAUAACCAAUACAAUGUCUUGCCUUUUCAGCAAAUCAUAAUAAUAUAAUAUCUCUUAGGUCCAAUUUUAACCAAUAAUUAUAGUCAACCUCUAAAUUACUGUUAGGCAACUUUGAGUCGAAUUUGUAUUAACAGUCCAGUUUUAAACAAAAAGUAUACUUGCACUCGUACUAUAACUAGGGAGAGAUCUUCUGGAAUGAGCAACUACACAUAUAUCGGGAGAAUUUAAAAUUCAAGUUUUAAGUAGAGAAGUAAAUGAGUAAACUCAAGUUUGCAGGAAUAAAGAACAUUCAAGCUACAUUGCUCCUUUGCAUGUCAAAUUAAGAAGAAAAAAGAUCACAGGAACUCUUAUUAAGCUAUAGAACUGUUAACCAAUCCUAUUAUUUAGCUGAUGCAGGAGCUCAUCAUCAUCAGUUGUUCCGGAUUCACAUAAUUAGAUGGCAGCUGAAAUCAAGCACUCCCAACAACACAAAGCCACUGGCCGACGAACAAUGUAGCGCAGUUGACAUUGGGGUUGAUGGAGUUGAACUCAUCAGCUGACAAGGCAAAACUCUGAGCAAUGCUAAAGCAAGUAUCUCCGCUGCUCACUCCAGUCACCAUAUCACAUGUUGGAACGGAUGCUUUUGCAAGCCUCCCUGUUUUCAGAAAUACAACUCAUAAACUAAUUUGCAAUACAAUAAUAAGUGAAAUUUUGGAGAGUUACAACGUGAUCAACAUUAAUUCAGAUAAUCAAAUUAACAAAGAUAUGAAUCCUGAAGAUACUUACUGGGCAAAACUGAUCUGCUUUCAGAAAUAGCAAAGAUGAGAAGAAGAGCAAGUGUGAGAAUGAGCAGGGCACUAUUGUUGUUGCUUGUCUUGGCCAUUGCACUAUUUGUUCUUGGAGGAAAGCAGCUAAGCCAGAUAAGAUGAGGAUACUUGCUUUCUUACUUCUGUGUUAGUGCUUCCUUAAACCCCACAUUUAUACUUUACAUUGAGGAAUGCGACCAGCAAGUAAGCCAAAAAUCAUUGUUUCCUUAGAAACAUACCCGCCCUCUUGUGACGCCAUGCGAUUUAACCAAUCAGGUACGCCGAUUUGUAUGCCCAUAACAGAUAGAUGAUCCACACACAGGUACCAGACAAAUCCAAAAUACUUAGUAAAACAUUAAGUAAAAAGUCCGACAAAUAAUUUAGUAACGCAUAAAGAAAUAGUGAGUUGCAGACUGCAGUAGUCAAUUAGUCAUUUAGUCCUCUUUCACUCAUUUGCCUAAUUAUCUGUCAUAUGUCUGAUGAGAGAGCAGACGCUUACUCACACUAGAACCUAUUUGGACUGGCAUAUUUUGGCCGACUAUAUUUUUUUUGUAAGACGAUUUAAUUCAGAACUAAACACUAACGAUUAUGCAAGCAGUUAAGACCCGGUUUAGCUGCAUUAAGUAAAUAAAACAUUUAAGACCCGGUUUAGCUGCAUCAAGUAAAUAAAACAUUUAACGUGAUUCCCAGUUCCCUGCAACAUGAUUCCGAUUUGCCCACUGUGCGAAGCAAAAGUGCGACAAAACAAGACUCAAGAGUCAGUCCCUUAAUGUCAUGUUGGUUUAUGCAAAUUGAUCAUGGAACAAUGCAACUAAUAUUAAAAAUUCACUUUUUGAAGAGAAAAAAAAUUGGAAUACAUUAUCUACAUAUUUGAAGCAGUUGACAAGAAAGGUAAUCAGUGGCUCAAGUUACAAACCAAACUCCUCAGGUCUUCUUUUGAACUUCUUUAAACACACAAAAAGUCCUUCACAGUUGCAAUAAAAAAAUAUGAAGGGCCAAGAACGAUACAUUUCAAUAAUAUUACAACAGAGCAAUAGGCACUUGAAGCAACACCAUAAAGGCAUAAACAAACAAUUUAUACUGAAUCUACUCCCUCCACCUGCUGUCGAGCAAGAUAUCUUUCUCUUCUUUCUUUCUACAAAAAAUAGAACAUAAUAACAUUAAGGAAAAAAUCCAGAAAGCAAUUUCUACAGGACUGUGAUUCGGAUUCAACAAAAACUAACCCAUUCAUCUAUGACCAGUCCUUCGCCAAUAAUCUUUGGACCUGUUUCUUCUGGAGGUUUUUUGCGAGACUCAACAGCAGCCUCAGCUUCAGCCAGCUGACGUUUUAAUUUCUCAAGAGCCUUGCAAUGAAUUAAAGGGAAUAAUUUAUACAUUAUUCAAUUCUUUUCUCUAUUUUAUAUAUUAUACAUGGUGGCUGCCUAGAGACAACUAAUUGCACAAGUUAUGCCUACAUAAGGUAUCCAUACAUGUUCACAAAAAAAAGAACAAGCAACACAAUAGAAAGGCCUGCCAAAUAAGAGCACCACUGACUCCACCCUUUUUUAUAAUGAAAGCACCAUUUUCAAUCCAUGUAGAAAAUGAAUCACGACCAUACUACUGUAUAAAUGAGUGAAUAAAAAA